RNAcentral lists this ribosomal RNA (206 nucleotides) under uncultured bacterium. RNAcentral's name for it is "partial 16S ribosomal RNA". It matches the Rfam family "Bacterial small subunit ribosomal RNA", at positions 568 to 774 of the family's 1533-position model. The record is from RNAcentral.
CUCGUAGGCGGUUCGUCGCGUCCGGUGUGAAAGUCCAUCGCUUAACGGUGGAUCUGCGCCGGGUACGGGCGGGCUGGAGUGCGGUAGGGGAGACUGGAAUUCCCGGUGUAACGGUGGAAUGUGUAGAUAUCGGGAAGAACACCAAUGGCGAAGGCAGGUCUCUGGCCGUUACUGAUGCUGAGGAGCGAAAGCGUGGGGAGCGAACA